This 2262-nucleotide unclassified non-coding RNA is filed under the name Diabrotica virgifera virgifera (western corn rootworm). Its description in RNAcentral is "uncharacterized LOC126883910". Lineage: Eukaryota; Metazoa; Arthropoda; Insecta; Coleoptera; Chrysomelidae. The record is from RNAcentral.
GCAUUCAUUGACUGCAAAAGGAGUAGAGUAGAAUUCCCAGUAACAAAAAACAACAUCUUCACUAACAUCGUCGAUAUCUACCUACUGUUGAACUUGUAGGUAAAAUAUUAUUCCUAAGAGCUUAUAACAUCUCCUUGUUUUAACUGAUUGUUUAGUUGUAGUUAGGUAAAAUAUGUUAAUUUUGUGAUUAUUCUGAUUGUUGUUUUGGUGUAGUGGGACAGCUAGAAGCACAUUGAUGAGCUAAGUUGAAUAAGCAACAGGAAAUUUUCAGAGGUAAAAUAAUUUCAAUGUCGUAUAAACCCUUUACAUCAACCUUAGCGAGGGUUCACACUAGUGGAAUCAGUUCUUCAGAUCAAGAAGCUGUACCACCCGUGGACAAAGGAGAUUCAGUUGAUUCGGAAUUGGCAGAAAGUAAAUCAUCAGCAAUAGACGAAAUCAUCGAAACCAUUUUUAAUAGGCGAGUUGCCAAAAAAUACAAUUACAAGUUAAGCCGGGAUGUAGAAAAGGAGGCAGUUAGUUUGUUACCACAACAUACCGUGAGAAAAAGAGGUUCAAUAACAACUGCAAAAGGAGACAUAGUAUUUUCCCAAAAAGUUUGUGGGCCGGUAGAUAUAACUCUACAAUUUUUAGCGAGCAGUUUAAGCGUUGGCAUUGUCGCGCAUCUCCCCCACUCCUCGUCGUCAGUGCCUCCCCCAAUCGGUAGACCUUCUGCUCCGCUCAGCUCAGAACCUGUGCUACCUCCCCCAAUCGGUAUACUUUCUGCCCCGCUCAGGUCAGAACCUGUGCUACCUCACCCAAUUUGUAGGCCUUCUGCCUCGUUCCCCCCCACCAUCUACUGUGCCUGUUCCUGCCCCAAUAUGUAGACCUUCUGACUCGUUCCCCCCACAGUCUACUGCUCCUGUAACUGCCCCAAUCUGUAGACCUUCUGGCUCGUUCUUCCCACAGUCUACUGCGCCUGUUCCUGACCAAAUCUGUAAACCUUCGACCUCGUUCCCCACACAGUCUACUGCGUAUUUUCCGCCACCAAUCUCCACACCAGCUUCUUUAUAUGCUGACGAUGAAAAUUGGGAUGAUGAAUGUCAUCAUCCCUCAUAUUUAGAACAGAUAAAAUACAUCGCAUUAUCCAAGCCAAUUAUCAGGACGCCCCCACCAAAAUUAUCUAAAACGGAGAAAAAAAUAUUUAGGCAGGUGGAGAGAAUUCGACACCAACACUUGCCAGAAUUAAACAAGUUGCAGUAAGCAACUUGUUUAAGUUUAAGCACCUCUUCUCCUGCCCUUCAUUAUUCUUCUAUGCCAAUUCUCCCCCACUCUUCCAAAAAGUAAUUUGCAUUUAUAUGUGUUCUGUAUAUUUCUGGUAUCUUUUCUAUGCUAAGUUCUAUGCCAAUUUCUCCCCACACUCUUCAAAAAUUAUCUGUCAUAUGUCCUGCAUAACUCCAGCGGUGUCGAUCGCUUGUUUUCGCUGAUGUGGUGGCUUUUGAUUUUGCCCUGUAGAGUUUUAUAUCGAGGUCCUUCAAAUCCUAGAAGAUAUGGCAAAACCAAGUAUGCCUGCGAGAAAGAAAAAAUAGAUUCUCCCAAGUAGAGUUCUCCCAAGUAUUUGACGGCCUAUUGGCGAAAAAAGGAGUUCCUCCAAAGGAAAAUGAUGAGGAGAAUAGUCUAAGUAAUCUAUUAAAUGAGAGCCAGCCUACCAAUCCACCACAUAGUGAAAUUCAACUCUGGGCGUCAUCGGAAUCAACUGAGCCAUCCACAAGCGGAAAGAAUCCAAAUAAUGAAGUAUCAAUCACAAACCACUUUCAGCCCCAGCAGCCAACAAGACCGAAAAGCAGAGAACAUCAUCCUGGGAGUAAUAAAAAACAGGACACCAUUGCCAAUUUGGUAGUAAAAAUCAAAACAGACGAAGAUCUAGAUUUUGCCAUUUCAAAAGCAUUGGACAGAAGGAAGAAUGCUCAACACAUUGUAGAUGAUUUAAGUAGUACAAUAAAGGAAUCGCAAACGUUGAACCAAAACUAUAAGAAGAAUCAACAGCAGACACUGGAAAUCGAAGCAGAGUUAAAAAUUGCUGAGCAGAACGUGCAAGCUUUAAAAUUACAGAGAAAAAAGUUGGUAAAUGCCAAAGCAAGUAUGCUUCCGAAAAUUAAGCGAAUGAGGAAAUUACUGCUACAGGACACCCACCCCUAUAACUGAAAAAGCUUCUUUUUUAUACCGUAAUGUUUGAAUAAAUUAAUUUUUAUACCUUAAUGUUUGAAUAAAUUAAUUUUUGUAUGA